This 300-nucleotide ribosomal RNA is filed under the name uncultured Geodermatophilaceae bacterium. RNAcentral describes it as "bacterial SSU rRNA". It matches the Rfam family "Bacterial small subunit ribosomal RNA", at positions 114 to 414 of the family's 1533-position model. The record is from RNAcentral. Lineage: Bacteria; Bacillati; Actinomycetota; Actinomycetes; Geodermatophilales; Geodermatophilaceae.
CACGUGGGCAACCUGCCCUCAGCUCUGGGAUAACUCCAAGAAAUUGGUGCUAAUACCGGAUACGACUGCCGAUCGCAUGGUCUGGUGGUGGAAAGAUUUAUCGGCUGAGGAUGGGCCCGCGGCCUAUCAGCUUGUUGGUGGGGUGAUGGCCUACCAAGGCGACGACGGGUAGCCGGCCUGAGAGGGUGACCGGCCACACUGGGACUGAGACACGGCCCAGACUCCUACGGGAGGCAGCAGUGGGGAAUAUUGCACAAUGGGCGAAAGCCUGAUGCAGCCAUGCCGCGUGUGUGAAGAAGG